This 1120-nucleotide long non-coding RNA is filed under the name Sus scrofa (pig). RNAcentral describes it as "lncRNA (ENSSSCG00065029382.1)". Lineage: Eukaryota; Metazoa; Chordata; Mammalia; Artiodactyla; Suidae. The record is from RNAcentral.
UUUUCAGUCUCGUGUGUGUUUAACUGUAUUUAAUAUAUAUUUUUGCUCUUCUCUCGUUUUCUUUACGAAUGAACCUGCCCUUCCGCCUGGCGCGCCCCAAACCUCCCCCGCAUCGCAGGCACCCGGCCGGGUGCAGGCGAGCGCACGCAGGCGGUUGAAGACGCCGGUCCUGGUGCCGCUGGGAUGCGCGGGGCCGCGGGGAGACGACGACGAGGGAGCCGGGCCUCCAGCUCAAGGUCUGCCGGAGCCACUAACCCUGUGGAUCUAACGCGCAGCCGGUGUCUCGGCUCCCCAUCUUGCCGCCACUCUGCACCGGGGUGGGUUUCUUUUCAGGAAGGCCCUUCCCGAAGGAAGUCUGAGGCUUUUGAGGACGAUUUGCCAGGGCAGGCCCUUUAAUGGAGCGAGAUGUGUGGCCCCAGCCUCAGCUCCUCAUGCUUCCAAGAGCAACACUGAGAGGUGUGGACCAGUGGGAGUGAGUGGCAGGCCCUCCAGCAGCUGUUGGGCACCUGAGCCCCCCACAAGCCCAUUCCUGAUCCUUCUCUCAUCUCAAAAUCGGGCCUGAUGGCACCUGUAUCACAUCUUGGAAGCACCAGAGACAAGAAUCACAGAGAAAGCUUAUGGCCGCACCCUGCUGCUCUGCCAAGCACCGGGCCCGAGCCAUGGCCGCAUGAAUACUCUCAUUUGAGGGCACUGAAUCCACAGGUGACGUUCACAUCCAUGCGGGCAAGCCAGACAAUUAAGCGUCGCCCUGAGACACACCCCUUUCCUUCGGCAGCCACCUCCAUGGGGUCAGCAACCCCUGCCAAGCUUACCCCUGAACAGCCACCAGCAAAUCUACUGCUCGCUGUCUCCUGCUGUCCUGGAUCACGGCGACAGCCUCCUGGUAACGACGCUACUGAAUCUGGGAUUAGCCACCCUUUGUCUUCCGAGUGAGUACUCCCUGAACCAUAUGUAGUUCAAGGUGGGAAGUUAUAGUGCAUUUAUUUCUGAAAGUUGCAAUUUCCCCCUCCUAGUUGUGUCUAGAGAUUCACACACACACACACACACACACACACACACACACACACACAGGAAUAUUAUACAGCAAUAAAAAUGAAUGACAAUAAAAUUACCCUACUCA